This 348-nucleotide unclassified non-coding RNA is filed under the name soil metagenome. RNAcentral's name for it is "partial contains 5.8S ribosomal RNA, internal transcribed spacer 2, and large subunit ribosomal RNA". The stretch from base 1 to 120 matches the Rfam family "5.8S ribosomal RNA", at positions 35 to 154 of the family's 154-position model. The record is from RNAcentral.
GAUGAAGAACGUAGCGAAAUGCGAUAAGUAAUGUGAAUUGCAGAAUUCAGUGAAUCAUCGAAUCUUUGAACGCACAUUGCGCCCACCAGUAUUCUGGCGGGCAUGCCUGUCUGAGCGUCAUUUCAACCCUCAUGCCCCUAGGGCGUGGUGUUGGGGAUCGGCCAAAGCCCGCGAGGGACGGCCGGCCCCUAAAUCUAGUGGCGGACCCGUCGUGGCCUCCUCUGCGAAGUAGUGAUAUUCCGCAUCGGAGAGCGAUGAGCCCCUUCCGUUAAACCCCCAACUUUCCAAGGUUGACCUCAGAUCAGGUAGGAAUACCCGCUGAACUUAAGCAUACCAAUAAGCGGAGGA